GCCCGGUUAGCUCAGUCGGUAGAGCAUUCGACUUUUACAAAGUCUUCACACUCUUGGAUGUGAUCGAAUUGUCGGGGGUUCGAGCCCCCCAUUGGGCG
This is a transfer RNA of Melampsora larici-populina 98AG31, 98 nucleotides long. It matches the Rfam family "tRNA". Rfam says of the family: Transfer RNA (tRNA) molecules are approximately 80 nucleotides in length. The record is from Rfam. Lineage: Eukaryota; Fungi; Basidiomycota; Pucciniomycetes; Pucciniales; Melampsoraceae.